UACGAAGGGGGCUAGCGUUGCUCGGAAUCACUGGGCGUAAAGCGCACGUAGGCGGGAUGGCAAGUCGGUCGUGAAAUCCCUCGGCUCAACUGAGGAGCGUCGAUCGAAACUGCCGUUCUUGAGGGUUGCAGAGGAGACUGGAAUUCCCGGUGUAGCGGUGAAAUGUGUAGAGAUCGGGAGGAACACCGGUGGCGAAGGCGGGUCUCUGGGCCGAUACUGACGCUGAGGAGCGAAAGCGUGGGGAGCGAACAGG
This 253-nucleotide ribosomal RNA is filed under the name uncultured bacterium. RNAcentral describes it as "partial 16S ribosomal RNA". It matches the Rfam family "Bacterial small subunit ribosomal RNA", at positions 524 to 776 of the family's 1533-position model. The record is from RNAcentral.